AGUGAACGCUGGCGGUAGGCCUAACACAUGCAAGUCGAACGGCAGCACAGUAAGAGCUUGCUCUUACGGGUGGCGAGUGGCGGACGGGUGAGGAAUACAUCGGAAUCUACUUUUUCGUGGGGGAUAACGUAGGGAAACUUACGCUAAUACCGCAUACGACCUACGGGUGAAAGCAGUGGAUCUUCGGACCUUGCGCGAUUGAAUGAGCCGAUGUCGGAUUAGAUAGUUGGCGGGGUAAAGGCCCACCAAGGCGACGAUCCGUAGCUGGUCUGAGAGGAUGAUCAGCGACACUGGAACUGAGACACGGUCCAGACUCCUACGGGAGGCAGCAGUGGGGAAUAUUGGACAAUGGGCGCAAGCCUGAUCCAGCCAUACCGCGUGGGUGAAGAAGGCCUUCGGGUUGUAAAGCCCUUUUGUUGGGAAAGAAAAGCAGCAGGUUAAUACCCCGCUGUUCUGACGGUACCCACAGAAUAAGCACCGGCUAACUUCGUG
This 492-nucleotide ribosomal RNA is filed under the name uncultured bacterium. RNAcentral describes it as "partial 16S ribosomal RNA". It matches the Rfam family "Bacterial small subunit ribosomal RNA", at positions 29 to 507 of the family's 1533-position model. The record is from RNAcentral.